UUGUGCCCUUGUUCAUCACUUCUGACUUCUUCCCUUGGGGGAUGCAGCGGCCACUUGGUAACUACAGGACUUCAACCAGAGGGCAGAAGGGACACCAGGGUUUAAAGGAGGCCCUUCCACCACCACUACCCAGGAGGAAUGCAUUCACUUCUUCUCCAAAACAAAAGUCUGGUUAAAAGAAACUCUAUUUGAAGCAUUAGGAUCUGUUACGUAAUUGUUUAAGAGAAUGAAGCUGACCAACGGACAUUGGGAUAUGUGAUAUCUACACAAACAGAAAAUCAACAAGCUAGCCCAAACAAUAACUGUUACUCACUAACUCUAACAAAGAUGAAACAGAAAUAGAAACUUAAGGGAAUAAAGAAGGAAGUGGGUGGCAAAAAACCGAGGGUGAUAAUUUCAGCGUGAUUUCCCAUCUCGUUCAGCUGUGGGAUUCCUGGCAGCCUAGGCAAAGGCAGGGUACUCAUGGACACAGAGAGAUACAGUUUGACAGGAGUAACAAUGAUUUCCCUUCAAAGGUCUCUAGUUCACUAUGAUGUCCAGUGCAGAGGAUGAAGACAAUGAGAAACUAUGGCUGCCGGGAGUAGUGAAAGGUAGCAAGCAGCUACCCAGGGAGUUUGAACAAAAGGCGGUGGCCAGCAGCCCUCACCGGAUGUGUCACUUAGCUAAGGAAAUUAGGACAAUACAAGUGCCUCAAUACC
This is a long non-coding RNA of Grammomys surdaster, 698 nucleotides long. RefSeq lists it as uncharacterized. The transcript is spliced from 3 exons. Lineage: Eukaryota; Metazoa; Chordata; Mammalia; Rodentia; Muridae. The record is from RefSeq and is a predicted model, not a curated record.